GGGUGAGUAACACGUAGGUAACCUGCCCCGGAGCGGGGGAUAACAUUUGGAAACAGAUGCUAAUACCGCAUAACAACGAAAGCCACAUGGCUUUUGUUUGAAAGAUGGCUUUGGCUAUCACUCUGGGAUGGACCUGCGGUGCAUUAGCUAGUUGGUAAGGUAACGGCUUACCAAGGCGAUGAUGCAUAGCCGAGUUGAGAGACUGAUCGGCCACAAUGGAACUGAGACACGGUCCAUACUCCUACGGGAAGCAGCAGUAGGGAAUCUUCCACAAUGGGCGCAAGCCUGAUGGAGCAACACCGCGUGAGUGAAGAAGGGUUUCGGCUCGUAAAGCUCUGUUGUUGGAGAAGAACGUGCGUGAGAGUAACUGUUCACGCAGUGACGGUAUCCAACCAGAAAGUCACGGCUAACUACGUGCCAGCAGCCGCGGUAAUACGUAGGUGGCAAGCGUUAUCCGGAUUUAUUGGGCGUAAAGCGAGCGCAGGCGGUUGCUUAGGUCUGAUGUGAAAGCCUUCGGCUUAACCGAAGAAGUGCAUCGGAAACCGGGCGACUUGAGUGCAGAAGAGGACAGUGGAACUCCAUGUGUAGCGGUGGAAUGCGUAGAUAUAUGGAAGAACACCAGUGGCGAAGGCGGCUGUCUGGUCUGCAACUGACGCUGAGGCUCGAAAGCAUGGGUAGCGAACAGGAUUAGAUACCCUGGUAGUCCAUGCCGUAAACGAU
RNAcentral lists this ribosomal RNA (720 nucleotides) under uncultured bacterium. Its description in RNAcentral is "bacterial SSU rRNA". It matches the Rfam family "Bacterial small subunit ribosomal RNA", at positions 104 to 810 of the family's 1533-position model. The record is from RNAcentral.